AAAGGUAAGCUACUAAGAGCGAAUGGUGGAUGCCUUGACUGGUAAAGGCGAUGAAGGACGUACUAGACUGCGAUAAGCUACGGGGAGCUGUCAAGAAGCUUUGAUCCGUAGAUUUCCGAAUGGGGCAACCCAAUGUAUAGAGAUAUACAUUACCUAUAUAGGAGCGAACGAGGGGAAUUGAAACAUCUUAGUACCCUCAGGAAAAGAAAUCAAUAGAGAUUGCGUCAGUAGCGGCGAGCGAAAGCGUAAGAGGGCAAACCCAGUGCUUGCACUGGGGGUUG
Molecule: ribosomal RNA, 281 nt
Filed under: Campylobacter coli
Lineage: Bacteria; Pseudomonadati; Campylobacterota; Epsilonproteobacteria; Campylobacterales; Campylobacteraceae
Description: partial 23S ribosomal RNA
Rfam family: Bacterial large subunit ribosomal RNA
Source: RNAcentral